UGGGGAAUAUUGGACAAUGGGCGAAAGCCUGAUCCAGCCAUGCCGCGUGUGUGAAGAAGGUCUUCGGAUUGUAAAGCACUUUAAGUUGGGAGGAAGGGCAGUAAAUUAAUACUUUGCUGUUUUGGACGUUACCGACAGAAUAAGCACCGGCUAACUCUGUGCCAGCAGCCGCGGUAAUACAGAGGGUGCAAGCGUUAAUCGGAAUUACUGGGCGUAAAGCGCGCGUAGGUGGUUCGUUAAGUUGGAUGUGAAAUCCCCGGGCUCAAC
Molecule: ribosomal RNA, 267 nt
Filed under: uncultured bacterium
Lineage: Bacteria
Description: partial 16S ribosomal RNA
Rfam family: Bacterial small subunit ribosomal RNA
Source: RNAcentral